RNAcentral lists this long non-coding RNA (623 nucleotides) under Nicotiana benthamiana. RNAcentral's name for it is "long non-coding RNA (NBEN_LNC039462)". The record is from RNAcentral. Lineage: Eukaryota; Viridiplantae; Streptophyta; Magnoliopsida; Solanales; Solanaceae.
CAGUUGCUUAAACAGGAUGUGACUGUUUUAUAUCUCCCAUCUUUUUCAUGUAUCAAUAGUUAAACUAGGUUUAAUUGAGCGAAUAUGUCCUAAAACAUGAUGUCUAAUGCACAUAAGAGGUACAGAAUGAUUCAUAUGCAAAAUUCCUAAAGCAGGAUUUCUAAUAUGCACAAUAUGAUUGCAGAAUUAUUAGACAUGAUUGUGUGAAGAGCAGUUUAUUAUUACUGUUAUUUAUCCUAGGAACGGGAUUGUGAUAAUAAGGAUGCCAGAAUGAGAUACUGAAAACAUCAUACAUAAUAAAAAUAACUAGGGAGCAUGGUCUCUAAUACAUGAUAUUCUUUGUUACAUGUUGGACCUAAACAUGGAUUCUACUGUGUAUAUAGGAAAUGUAAACCUAAAGCAUGAUUUCUACCCCUUUGAUGUCUAUAACAUACAUAACUACCCUCCCAUUUUCACUAUCCAUCCCCAGUAUUUGUUUACAACAAAUUAUUAUAGACCAAUAUCGAAUGAACUACAUAAGCAGGUAAAAUAAGAACUUACACUAUAGGGAGCCUACAAAUAGGCCCAGAUUUCCAGAAUUUCUAAUGUCAAUUCGCCUUAUAUCCUUUCACAUAAUCCGGGUG